RNAcentral lists this ribosomal RNA (750 nucleotides) under Janibacter melonis. RNAcentral describes it as "bacterial SSU rRNA". It matches the Rfam family "Bacterial small subunit ribosomal RNA", at positions 75 to 839 of the family's 1533-position model. The record is from RNAcentral. Lineage: Bacteria; Bacillati; Actinomycetota; Actinomycetes; Micrococcales; Intrasporangiaceae.
CUUGCUCUAAGGGGAUCAGUGGCGAACGGGUGAGUAACACGUGAGUAACCUGCCCCGGACUCUGGAAUAAGCGCUGGAAACGGCGUCUAAUACCGGAUACGAGACGCAACCGCAUGGUUAGUGUCUGGAAAGUUUUUCGGUCUGGGAUGGACUCGCGGCCUAUCAGCUUGUUGGUGAGGUAAUGGCUCACCAAGGCGACGACGGGUAGCCGGCCUGAGAGGGCGACCGGCCACACUGGGACUGAGACACGGCCCAGACUCCUACGGGAGGCAGCAGUGGGGAAUAUUGCACAAUGGGCGAAAGCCUGAUGCAGCGACGCCGCGUGAGGGAUGACGGCCUUCGGGUUGUAAACCUCUUUCAGCAGGGAAGAAGCGAAAGUGACGGUACCUGCAGAAGAAGCACCGGCUAACUACGUGCCAGCAGCCGCGGUAAUACGUAGGGUGCGAGCGUUGUCCGGAAUUAUUGGGCGUAAAGAGCUUGUAGGCGGUUUGUCGCGUCUGCUGUGAAAAUCCGGGGCUCAACCCCGGACUUGCAGUGGGUACGGGCAGACUAGAGUGUGGUAGGGGAGACUGGAAUUCCUGGUGUAGCGGUGAAAUGCGCAGAUAUCAGGAGGAACACCGAUGGCGAAGGCAGGUCUCUGGGCCACUACUGACGCUGAGAAGCGAAAGCAUGGGGAGCGAACAGGAUUAGAUACCCUGGUAGUCCAUGCCGUAAACGUUGGGCGCUAGGUGUGGGACUCAUUCCACGAGU